RNAcentral lists this ribosomal RNA (775 nucleotides) under uncultured Neocallimastigales. RNAcentral describes it as "partial large subunit ribosomal RNA". It matches the Rfam family "Eukaryotic large subunit ribosomal RNA", at positions 23 to 634 of the family's 3401-position model. The record is from RNAcentral. Lineage: Eukaryota; Fungi; Neocallimastigomycota; Neocallimastigomycetes; Neocallimastigales.
AGAGAGAGACAUGCGCGCAUAUCAAUAAGCGGAGGAAAAGAAACUAACAAGGAUUCCCUUAGUAACGGCGAGUGAAGCGGGAAGAGCUCAAAUUUGAAAUCUUCAAGGUCUUACCUUGACGAAUUGUAGUUUAAAGAAGUGUUUUCUGCUGAAGUUUUGGUAAAAGUUCUUUGGAAUAGGACAUCAUAGAGGGUGAGAAUCCCGUAUUUGACCAUUAUUUUCAGCUUUGUGAUACACUUUCAAAGAGUCGGAUUGUUUGGGAAUGCAGUCCAAAAUGGGUGGUAAAUUUCAUCUAAAGCUAAAUAUUGGCGAGAGACCGAUAGCGAACAAGUACCGUGAGGGAAAGAUGAAAAGAACUUUGAAAAGAGAGUUAAACAGUACGUGAAAUUGUCAAAAGGGAAGCGUUUGACACCAGUGUUGUUUUCUCGAAAAUCAAUUAAAAAUGGCUCGAUUUUGUAUUGCUGAGACCUUAAAAGCUCACUGUACAUUUUUCGUGUCCUUUUUAAUGCACUUUUCGUUUAACAAGUCAACAUCAGUUUCUUUUGUUGUAAAAGGGUCAUUGGAAGGUGGCUUUCUUUUCGGAGAAAGUGUUUAUAGCCUUUGGCCUCUGCAAUCGGAGAGACUGAGGUCUGCAGCGUAGACUCUUCGGGGUUAGAUACAUUUGUGCUAAGUUAUAGCUUUUCAUAGACGACUUGUUGACUAUGAUUAGUCAUUGUAGCUUACUCGCUUAUGCUAUUUUACCUACGCUUAGGAUGUUGAAGAUGUAGCACAUCAU